AAGACCUUGCGCUUUUGGAGCGGCCGAUGCCUGAUUAGCUUGUUGGUAAGGUAAAAGCUUACCAAGGCUUCGAUCAGUAGCUGGUCUGAGAGGACGACCAGCCACACUGGGACUGAGACACGGCCCAGACUCCUACGGGAGGCAGCAGUGGGGAAUUUUGGACAAUGGGGGCAACCCUGAUCCAGCCAUGCCGCGUGAGUGAAGAAGGCCUUCGGGUUGUAAAGCUCUUUCAGCCGGAACGAAACGGUUACGGUUAACACCCGUGACUACUGACGGUACCGGAAGAAGAAGCACCGGCUAACUACGUGCCAGCAGCCGCGGUAAUACGUAGGGUACGAGCGUUAAUCGGAAUUACUGGGCGUAAAGCGUGCGCAGGUGGUUUUGUAAGUCAGAUGUGAAAGCCCCGGGCUCAACCUGGGAACU
RNAcentral lists this ribosomal RNA (423 nucleotides) under uncultured bacterium. RNAcentral's name for it is "bacterial SSU rRNA". It matches the Rfam family "Bacterial small subunit ribosomal RNA", at positions 207 to 622 of the family's 1533-position model. The record is from RNAcentral.